Molecule: long non-coding RNA, 180 nt
Organism: Juglans microcarpa x Juglans regia
Lineage: Eukaryota; Viridiplantae; Streptophyta; Magnoliopsida; Fagales; Juglandaceae
Exons: 3
Source: RefSeq, a predicted model, not a curated record
AUGAGAGGUAGAGACCGAGCUGAUGAGAGAGAGCUGAUAAAAGAGAAAGACUUAACUGAUAAGAGAGAGCUGAUGAAAGAGGAAGAAUUCAUUUUAAAUCUGACGUAGCAUGGACGACUGCACGCUAAUUAUAUCUAACGACUGUAUAUAAAAGAAUUAAUGGUUUGAAAAAUGACACUU